ACAGUUAUCCAAGAUGGCGGCUUUAUGCUGGUAAUGUAAAUGCUAGGAUUUGGAUGUUCCGCAGAAGAAACAUCUGUAGAAACUUUGUCGCAAAUAGCGCAAAAUGGCACAGGAAUUGUCACAAAUUUGCGGUAUUAAUGCUCGAAAGCACUUAAGAACGAAAAAAGCUGACCAGAAGAGGCACUAAGAAAAAAUCAGUGCUUAUUGCUCUCUACGUGUGCAUUAUAGUGAUGAGGUUGAACGCAUCGCAUGUUUUUAACAGGAUAGCAACCAACCUCAAACGAAUCGCCGCACCAAUAGAGGACUAUGUUAUUAUCUUAAUGAUGUCUUAAUGAUGACCUCAAGGAUGGAAAGGGCCGUGGAGCAUAAGAAAAGGAAAAAAUUUACCAAAGUCAUCUCGAAUUCAUAACUACCGGUAUUACGAAGAAAUCUUCAUUCUCUCACGAAGGAUUUGUGAGCACGACGUCUGGUCAGCAUAUUUCAAAGUAAACUAUAUUCAGAGGCAGAGUAAGAAUAAUAAAGUAAAAUGGAAAAGUCGAUGAAGCCCUAGCCUACGUGUAGUUGCUGACUCGCGAAAUCCUUCGCGAGUCAGCGGCUACACGUAGGCUAGUGGAGCCCAUUUGGGUGUAAUUAUCAAUUCAGCAGCAGCCAAAUUAAAAAAUGUCACUCACAGAGAGAAUUGUUGCAAGUUUAAACUUUGUAGAAACAAUCCUGGCCCUGUUAUUGAUUCCAUGAAAACAACAAUUGCAUCAUAUAGUGAAGGAAAUGUAGCAUUAUUUGGAUCAAAUUCUAAUCGCCAGUCUGUGGCUAUCAUAGCUGUCAACUCUCCCGCAUUAGGCGGGUGUCUCAAGAUUUUGAACCUUUUCUCAAGCCUGAUUUUCUUGAAAAUAUCCAUACUUUUACUGUAUUCAGCUAUCUUAAUGGUUCUGAUACAUUCACUGUGUUUUCUCAAGAUUUUUCCUAAAGCGGGGUUGACAGAUAUGGGCUAUGUCCUUGUGCCCUCAUGUAAGAUCAUAAUAAUCAAUUCUACCUCACUGUAUUUGGUCAAUAUCAUGAACUUUGGUAAUGAAUUGUAUACCAGUUUAUCAGGUUUAUCAAGACAAUAUCAUAUUUGAUGUUGACAGAAGUGCCUGAAAUCAAUCACAAUGUUUGACUAUCAGCUUCAAUAUAGUCCAAGCUAUACUGGCAGUAUACAUAGUAUGGUGACAGAAGGUUUUGAGUAUUCUACUGUAUGUCUUUUGAUAAUGUUUUACAGACAUUAUUAGAGAAAAGUACAGGUCUUUCAUUUUGACUGUUGGUUCAAAUACUGUGGCUAUUUAUUGUACUGCCGAUGGAAGAUUUAAAACAUUUGAUUCUCAUUCCAGAGAUUUGUUCGAUAUGGCCAGUUCUCUAGGAUCUUGUGUUUUGUUAGAGAUAUGAUCAUUAAAUGAUUUUAUAUACUAUUUCAGAGCUCUCUAUAAUAAUUCAAACUGCAUUUUAGCUAAAGGGUGUAAUGCAAAUUGAAGCAUCUGCCAAUACUAAUUAUAUUAACCAAUCAAUGCAUGGACAUGGAGUUUCCUAUCAUCAAUCAAAUGAUAAUAAGGGAUAAAAUCUAGAGGUUAGAAAACAUUUUUUGUAUUGUAAGAUGCUUCUGUGCUAUUUCUUCUUAUUCCAUUUGCUUUUCUGUUGUUACUGGAAUUCACAAACCCUAGAUGCAUUUGUUUAUUAUGGAAAUUAUUUAUAAGGUUCUAAACACUCCAUCUUUUACAGACUUCACCCCGCUAAACGCCUCCCAAUCGUCUUGUUUUUAAUUACACGUCAUGACAGUUGGUGUUAAGAGUAAUAAGUCAGACAUUAGCUGUCUUCACUAGUCUAUGUUCGGACAAUAGCCCGACUAAAAUCUUUCUCGCAAGAUCUUGUUGUUUGUCAUUUCUUAAUCAAUUUACCAAACAACCUCUGUUCCCAACGCCCUUGCAUAUGGCAAUAAGUUAGGCUCGAUUUCCAGCUUGUCUCUGUGAGCCCGCAGUACGUGGUGUGAGGCCUAGCGACGGCUGGAAAUAGAGCCUAGCAAUAAGUUUGGUACGAAUUUGUUAGCGAAAAAAAAUACUUUAUCGUGAAAAAUAAAACUUUAGAUCAUGUAA
Nematostella vectensis (starlet sea anemone) is the source of this 2120-nucleotide long non-coding RNA. RefSeq lists it as uncharacterized. Lineage: Eukaryota; Metazoa; Cnidaria; Anthozoa; Actiniaria; Edwardsiidae. The transcript is spliced from 2 exons. The record is from RefSeq and is a predicted model, not a curated record.